CUGGGACCUGGGGCACGGCCUGGGGUGCCCCCAGGGCUGUUGGCUCCAGGCUGCACCUGCUUCCUCCAGUUGGCCCAGUGUCUGGCCUGGGAACUGGCUGGCAUCAAGCCCCCUGCAGAGCAGCAGCCAUGGCUCCUCAGCCCCUGCAGGACGGAAGGGGCCCCAGGGCCAGGGUGAGCCAGCCGGCGCAUUCACCACGUCACGCCCAACCGCAGGACCCCCAGCCUGCUGUCCUCUCCUGGGACCCGGCUGCCUCCCUCCCCAGGUGCCUGCUGCACUCCACAUGGCACUUCCCACCCAGACUUGUUCCCUUGCUCUCUGUAAACACACCUCCCCUGCCAGACCCUGCCAGGCUGGGCUGUGUCCCUAGUGAGGAGGCAGAGGGGACCCAGACAUCACUCCUCUCAGGGCCGGCCUAGAGUGGGUGUGAGGCCAGGACAGGUGCUGUCCUAGGCGCUGGGGACUCCAGAUGGAGAGGACAGAGUCCCUCAUGGAGCUUGUGGCCUGAGGCAAAUGCAGAGCGGUGUGGCCAUGCGCCUUAUUUGGAAGGAGAGGUGCUGCGGCCGUAGUUAAGGUCAUGGAGCCCAGGAGACAAGGAUGGCUGGCAGCCCGCCGCCGCCGUGGAAGUUGGGAGAGGCGUGGCAGGACGCUUCCUCCCUGCCCGCAGAAGGAACCCGCCCCGCCAACAGACGCCCUGAUUCAGGCGUCAACUCAACACUCAACCUCUGGCCUCCGGAACAAACUGCCAGAGAACAAGUCUCUGUCGCCUGAAGCCGCAGC
RNAcentral lists this long non-coding RNA (780 nucleotides) under Equus caballus (horse). RNAcentral describes it as "lncRNA (ENSECAG00000057858.1)". The record is from RNAcentral. Lineage: Eukaryota; Metazoa; Chordata; Mammalia; Perissodactyla; Equidae.